AAUGGCUAUCUCCUUUCUCUUUUAAAUCUGCCAUUUCGGAUUUCUUCCCCUUGCGGCUUUCACUCCUCUGUUCAAUUCAGUUUCUCACUCUCACUCCUCAACAGCUCCUUUGACAUCGCCGGUCUUGCCUCAGGCCCAAAAUCAGAGGGGCCUAUAUUUUGGAGUAAUUUUUGUUUUUUAAAGAAGAAAAUGGAAAAUCCUUUUUCAUUCCUCUCCUCCUCCCGUCUCUGCUCGACUCGUCGCCUCAUGUUUGACUCACCGAUCCCUAACGGUGAUUAUUCACCAGUUUCUCUCCUUCGAGAUGCCCUACUUUGCCAUGGCCUCACAUCCCCAUUAUAUACACUUUCUUCUCUUCUUAGCCAUUUAACCCAAGGCACUAGGAAUUUCAAUUGUCUGCUUUUUAUGAAGUGAGUAUUAAUGCUCAUAUUAAUUCUUAGUUGCAAUCGGUGCAAGCUCUUUUUUAUUUUGAUCAAAUGGUUGAUAAAGGUUUUGUGCCCAAGUCGGCUACGCUGAAUAAUGUAUUAAAUUUUCUUGUGAAGAGGAAUAAAUUCGAGAAAGCUUGAUAUGUAUUUGAUAGAUAUAAUAAUAGGAGAAUUGUUACGAAUGUGUACACUUUUGGGAUUUUGAUGAACGGUUGUGGUGCUACUGGUGAUUUAAAGAAAGGAUUUCAGGUUUUGGACCAAUGUCUAGCAUGGUGAUAGACUUAUAGUCCAAAUGUUGUUGUAUACACUACAUUGAUUGAUGCCUGAUGGGUCUUGAAGAAUGGUGAAGUUGAAAAGGCAAAGGAAUUGUUUUGUAAAAUGGAAGAGCUGGGUUUGGUUGCUAAUCAGCACACUUGCGGUGUUUUGAUAAAUGGGCUCUUUAUGAAAGGACUUAAAAGAGAUGGAUUUGAGCUCUACGAGAAGAUAAAGCUUGAUUGGGCUUUUCCGGCUUGUAUGCAUACAACUAUGUGAUAUAUGAGUUUUGCCAGGAAUAAGGAUGGUAAGAUGAGCAAAGCUUAUGAACUGUUCGAUUAAAUGCGUGAGUGAGGAGUGGCAUGUAAUGUUGUGACACACAACACUUUAAUUGCAAAGUAAGCUACUUCAUCUUCAUAAUUUCUUUUCUUUCUUGCCCUCAUUUAAACACUUGUUGGAAAGAAGACAAGAAAUCGUAUUGUAAUGCUUAGCUGUCCACAUUGUCUUCACCAUUGAUUGUGCAGUAUGUGAGAUUUAGAAAAGGGAUAAACAAAAUUAUGUAUGUUAACUUCCCAUUACAAAAUUUGCUUAAAUAACUAUAUGCAUAGAUUGUGCAGUGUGUAAGAUUUAAUUUAGCUUGACAGUGCAUGAAUAAUAUGUUUGAAUAUUGCUGAAGGGUUCUGGAUCUAGAAAGCUGUGGGGCAAGGCGAAGGCUCUAGAACCUUUGCAGCCAUAUGAAAUACCAAGAAGCUUAUUUCCUGGUAAUGUGUGCAAGUCUUUAUUCAUCUGUCUUGAAAUUACUGCCUUGUCUACUAACAUAUUGAAUAUCAUUGAUUACUAUUAGCGAUGGAAAAGUGUAUCUUUAGUUAGUUAAUUCAUGUUAUUGUCUAUAUAAUUCACAAGAUCCAUAUUUAUUUGUACAUUAUGCAUUCUUGCUGUGUUAUUUGUUUUUCAAAUUUACACAUAUUUCUACACAUGAUGAUUUUUAAACACUUCCAUUGUGCGUAUAGAAAUUAUAGAGAUUGCCAUGCUUGGUGGAAAUGAAAUUCGAUUCAGAAGUUAGAGAAUUCAUAAGAUAAAUUGAAGAGAUAGAAAAAAUUGUAAGUAGUUAGAUGUAAUCCUUACAUUACUUUGUGCUCUUGGAUAAGAAAAGAUGUUUAGAGAAAGUCGUUCAAAUUCUUUCUUAUAUUCACCUCGCAUUUUGAUUAUCAAAAUCUUUUGUUAGAGAAUUCAUAAGAUAAAUUAAAUCAUAUUGUUGUGCAUGUCUAAAUGUCUAAAUGAGUUACUAAUAUUGUCAUGCCAUUUGUAGGAUGGAAUACAUAUACAUUGGUAAUCGAUGUAAUGCGAAGGUCACAACACGUUCUAAUGUGUCAAAUGUGGAGAAAGUAUACGAUGCAUUAGACGAUGGUCCAUAACGUGUCAACCGUGGAGAAAUUAUACAAUACUGAUACUUUUGCCCUUGAUUAUGAUCCGUACGACCUUUUGAUGUAUUUGUAUGUUUACGAGUUUUUGAGUGUAAAUAUAAUUUUAUAGUGUAUGUUAAAUGUGUGGUUUUUUGUGUUAUGAAUAGAAGUUUAUUUUUC
Molecule: long non-coding RNA, 2257 nt
Filed under: Olea europaea subsp. europaea
Lineage: Eukaryota; Viridiplantae; Streptophyta; Magnoliopsida; Lamiales; Oleaceae
Source: RNAcentral